CCUCGAAUAAUCACCCUAACGACUCUCCUCUGAGUUUUUGCAUUUCUUAAUUAAGGAGCGACUGCUUCCAUUCCAGAAGUCCUUUGUGAUUUUAAUUUACAUGUUGAUGGGUUCUACGUUUGCAAGCUCUGAAGCUGCUCUUCUGGGCUGAGACAGUCGCCCAUACAUGGUGCGCUUGUAUGUCCUCGCGCAUGCUGGGUCUGAACGUCGACAGAGGGCUCAGCUGCCCCCUUCAGGAAUGGGAGGAAAUUUCUGGGGUUUUCUCCAGUCGGAAUCCUCGAUGUGGAGCAAACUGUCCCCACAUUUAGUGGUUUAAAACGAUCGCGAUAUGUUGGUCGUGAUUUUGUGAGUCAGAUGGAGAAAUGGUCAUCAGAGUAGCCCUGGCUGGGGUCUUUGGAGAGGUUGCCAUCAGACGUCCGCAGGGGUCAGUCGUCCCAAGGCUCCGGUGAGCCAGAUGUCCCAGGCGGCUCCCACACAGGGCUGACAACGGACUCCGGCUGUUGACGGGGAACUCAGCCGGGGCUGCCCAGAGGCCCACAGGUGGCUUCUCCAGCAUGGUGGUCCCACCUUGUCGGGCUUUUACGUGGUGGCAGGGGCAGGCUGCCCCGGGGGUGAGCCUCCUAAGAGAACCAGGUGCAAGCAGCAGAGACUUCUCUGGCUUAGCCUCCGUAGUGAUUUUCUACCACUUCCAUUGCCUCCUGUUGCUCACAACCAAGUCACCAAGAGAGGCCCAGGUUCAAGGGGAAGGAACGGAGUAGACCCCCGUGUCUUGAAGAAGAGCGUCAAGAGCUUUUCGCGUACUGGAUACAUUCUCUAGAAUAACAGCCCGAGGCGAAUUAGACUCCUCUUCCCUUUCAUUGGUUCUCCACCAAAUUAAGUCCUGAAUUUCCCCUUACUUUUGUCCCUUCGUGCCAUAGAAAAGAAAGACAUUUUCUCGGGCUUUCCUUUUUGGCCUUUAAAUUCUCAGUUCACAGAGAGGAAAACAAUGUAUCUCCGCUAUUUAUUUAUUUAUUCAUUCAUUCAUUCAUUUAUUUAUUUCUUCUUUCACGUGACAAGGGAUGCGCUCAGCACUGUACCGGUCGGUAGAACCACAAACGGGCGCCGCCCGCAAGGAAGGCCUGACCCGGCAAAGCGAGAACCAGCUGUGUGUUUUCAGUCAUCUUACAGUCCUGGGCGUGCGACUCUCAGUAAUAACGACUCUUCCGGCGGUCUGCCUGGGAGGGAAUGGAUGUGAAUAGACAAUAUCUGACAAGAAACACAAGACUCCAAGUCUGAUGAAGCUAUAAAAGAUUUCAGAUGUACAAAAACCUGGCUUUGCCACCUCCGGCUCCUCUGCAUUGUUAGUAAACUGCAAACAACUCCAUGUGACCAGUGAAAUGUCUGAAUGGGCGUGUCUCUUUCCUUUCCUUUUUUUUUUUUUUUUUAAUGUUUAAUCCUUUAUAUUGAGUGAGGCAGAGAGAGGGAAAGCGCUGGGGAGGGGCAGAGAGAGAACCCCAAGCAGACUCCACACUGUCAGUGAAGAGACCAACGCGGGGCUCGAACUCACGAACUGAGAGAUCAUGCCCUGAGCUGAAACCAAAAGUCAGAUGCUUAACUGACUGAGCCACCCAGGUGCCCCCACAUGUCUCUUUUCAGCUAGUCAUCUGUUAUGCCCAGAAUUCGUGAUCCCCAAAUACCGCCAGGGAGCCGAGUCCGAUGCAAAAGCAAAAGAGCCUUUAUUCGAGCUAGCUCGAGCUCAAUCCCCUACCUGCACCAACGCAGCGGUGAGAUACCAGGGAGAGAGAGCGAGUUUCAAAAGGGCAAAGGUUUUAUUGGGGCCUAGGGGCAGUUGGUGAGGUAAUGACUGUGGCCUUAGCUGAUUGGCUGGAGAAGGGUCGUGGCCUCGCCCGAUUGGCUGGGGAAGGGCCGGAGUCCUGUUACGCAGGUCGCUGGGCGUGUUUUGAUCAGGAAGUUUGAACAGGUGAGCGGGAGGUUACUCAAGGAGAGGAGGCGCGGUCUGAGGUUUCUGUGAUUUUUCCCGGAAAAGGGGUCAUGUCGGGGACAUAGUCACUCAAGGUGGAGGACACAGAACAAGAUGGAGUCGGCUGGUGUAGGCCGACCCUUUCACAUCAACACAGUAAGUACUGUUGAGCCCCUGCCAUGUGCCAGGGACAUGCCAACCAUGAGGGAUGAACUGGCGAACAUGAUAUACUGUAGCCACCUUGCUUUUGGCACAUGGCUGUAUUUUGGACACA
Molecule: long non-coding RNA, 2234 nt
Filed under: Felis catus (domestic cat)
Lineage: Eukaryota; Metazoa; Chordata; Mammalia; Carnivora; Felidae
Description: lncRNA (ENSFCAG00000049419.1)
Source: RNAcentral